GAGAAAGGUUUGGAAUAGGUGCGAUCUAAGUCGAAUAAGUCAGAACCAGGCUCGAAAUGCUGUGGGUACGCCAGAACAAAGCUGGAGAAGCCAUAGAACCUUGAAUCGAAGAACAUAUGAACGACAACCAUCGAGGUCAGACCUCAAUACUUCAAACUCCCAUCGUUUAAGAGUCGAGAUAGAUGGGUAUAGGCCGUCUAUGGACUGAGAGGCCAUGAAUUCCGGUAAGUUGGUGGUUGAAAAUGGUAGAGGACGAUUAGGGUUUCAAGAACAUUCAAGAUAGUUUGAGAGAUGAAGGGUAAUCAGAG
RNAcentral lists this long non-coding RNA (308 nucleotides) under Nicotiana benthamiana. RNAcentral's name for it is "long non-coding RNA (NBEN_LNC019918)". The record is from RNAcentral. Lineage: Eukaryota; Viridiplantae; Streptophyta; Magnoliopsida; Solanales; Solanaceae.